RNAcentral lists this ribosomal RNA (268 nucleotides) under uncultured prokaryote. RNAcentral describes it as "partial 16S ribosomal RNA". It matches the Rfam family "Bacterial small subunit ribosomal RNA", at positions 524 to 792 of the family's 1533-position model. The record is from RNAcentral.
UACGUAGGGGCAAGCGUUAUCCGGAUUUACUGGGUGUAAAGGGAGCGCAGACGGAACCGCAAGUCUGAUGUGAAAGCCCGGGGCUCAACCGCGGGACUGCAUCGGAUACUGUGGAUCUGGAGUGCCGGAGGGGCAAGCGGAAUUCCUGGUGUAGCGGUGAAAUGCGUAGAUAUCAGGAGGAACACCGGCGGCGAAGGCGGCUUGCUGGACGGCAACUGACGUUGAGGCUCGAAAGCGUGGGGAGCAAACAGGAUUAGAUACCCUGGUA